UAGGCUGACAAAUAGUCCUGGUUUGCCUGGGACUGAGGAGCUUCAAGGAUGUAGGUCUUCCAGUGCUAAAGCCGGGAGAGUC
RNAcentral lists this microRNA precursor (82 nucleotides) under Procavia capensis (Cape rock hyrax). Its description in RNAcentral is "miRNA (ENSPCAG00000020116.1)". Lineage: Eukaryota; Metazoa; Chordata; Mammalia; Hyracoidea; Procaviidae. The record is from RNAcentral.